UGCAGUCGAACGAUGAAGCCCAGCUUGCUGGGUGGAUUAGUGGCGAACGGGUGAGUAACACGUGAGUAACCUGCCCCCGACUUUGGGAUAAGCCCGGGAAACUGGGUCUAAUACCGGAUAUGACUUUCCACCGCAUGGUGGGUUGUUGAAAGAUUUAUCGGUGGGGGAUGGACUCGCGGCCUAUCAGCUUGUUGGUGAGGUAAUGGCUCACCAAGGCGACGACGGGUAGCCGGCCUGAGAGGGUGACCGGCCACACUGGGACUGAGACACGGCCCAGACUCCUACGGGAGGCAGCAGUGGGGAAUAUUGCACAAUGGGCGGAAGCCUGAUGCAGCGACGCCGCGUGAGGGAUGACGGCCUUCGGGUUGUAAACCUCUUUCAGUAGGGAAGAAGCGAAAGUGACGGUACCUGCAGAAGAAGCGCCGGCUAACUACGUGCCAGCAGCCGCGGUAAUACGUAGGGCGCAAGCGUUAUCCGGAUUUAUUGGGCGUAAAGAGCUCGUAGGCGGUUUGUCGCGUCUGCCGUGAAAGUCCGAGGCUCAACCUCGGAUCUGCGGUGGGUACGGGCAGACUAGAGUGAUGUAGGGGAGACUGGAAUUCCUGGUGUAGCGGUGAAAUGCGCAGAUAUCAGGAGGAACACCGAUGGCGAAGGCAGGUCUCUGGGCAUUUACUGACGCUGAGGAGCGAAAGCAUGGGGAGCGAACAGGAUUAGAUACCCUGGUAGUCCAUGCCGUAAACGUUGGGCACUAGGUGUGGGGGACAUUCCACGUUUUCCGC
This 776-nucleotide ribosomal RNA is filed under the name Arthrobacter sp. LT80. Its description in RNAcentral is "bacterial SSU rRNA". It matches the Rfam family "Bacterial small subunit ribosomal RNA", at positions 56 to 844 of the family's 1533-position model. Lineage: Bacteria; Bacillati; Actinomycetota; Actinomycetes; Micrococcales; Micrococcaceae. The record is from RNAcentral.